RNAcentral lists this ribosomal RNA (219 nucleotides) under uncultured bacterium. RNAcentral describes it as "partial 16S ribosomal RNA". It matches the Rfam family "Bacterial small subunit ribosomal RNA", at positions 268 to 504 of the family's 1533-position model. The record is from RNAcentral.
CCAAGGCGACGAUCAGUAGCCGGCCUGAGAGGGUGGACGGCCACAUUGGGGCUGAGACACGGCCCAGACUCCUACGGGAGGCAGCAGUGGGGAAUAUUGCACAAUGGGGGAAACCCUGAUGCAGCAAUGCCGCGUGAAGGAAGAAGUAUCUCGGUAUGUAAACUUCUAUCAGCAGGGAAGAAACUGACGGUACCUGACUAAGAAGCACCGGCUAAAUAC